CCUACGGGUGGCAGCAGUGAGGAAUAUUGGUCAAUGGACGAGAGUCUGAACCAGCCAAGUAGCGUGAAGGAUGACUGCCCUAUGGGUUGUAAACUUCUUUUAUAUGGGAAUAAAAUGUUCCACGUGUGGGAUUUUGUAUGUACCAUAUGAAUAAGGAUCGGAUAACUCCGUGCCAGCAGCUGCGGUAAUACGGAGGAUCCGAGCGUUAUCCGGAUUUAUUGGGUUUAAAGGGAGCGUAGGUGGAUUGUUAAGUCAGUUGUGAAAGUUUGCGGCUCAACCGUAAAAUUGCAGUUGAAACUGGCAGUCGUGAGUACAGUAGAGGGGGGCGGAAUGCGUGGUGUAGCGGUGAAAUGCUUAGAUAUCACGAAGAACUCCGAUUGCGAAGGCAGCUCACUGGACUGCAACUGACACUGAGGCUCGAAAGUGUGGGUAUCAAACAGGAUUAGAUACCCUAGUAGUC
This 460-nucleotide ribosomal RNA is filed under the name uncultured bacterium. RNAcentral's name for it is "partial 16S ribosomal RNA". It matches the Rfam family "Bacterial small subunit ribosomal RNA", at positions 338 to 795 of the family's 1533-position model. The record is from RNAcentral.